CUGAGAUGGGACUUUUCAUCUACAGAAGGCAAACCUGAGACACCAACUCUGGAAGACUUACCAUAUCAUCAACUUAAUUUUGAUGCAGAGUUGGAGGACCACAGCACCCCCUCCUAUCUCCAGUUGGUGGUAAAGAAUAUACACUAGGAGAUCUCUUUAGACACCUCAGUCACAGAAUCAUAGAACAUUAGAGUUGGACACAAUCGCAGGGGCCUCUCUGGUGUCGUGAAGGAAACAACAAACAACCAGGCACGUCCACAACCCUACCCUGGAAGUCAGAAGAUCUGGAUUUAAAUACGGCUUUGACCCUUGUCAAUUCUGUGACCACUGGCAGAGAGCAGCAGAAUCCCCAGCCAAGGGCUGCACCUGAGUCUGAGCCUGGAGCUGGUGGUGCAAGCCCAGAGUCCAGCGA
This is a non-coding RNA of Phascolarctos cinereus (koala), 412 nucleotides long. NCBI's taxonomy places the organism in Eukaryota, Metazoa, Chordata, Mammalia, Diprotodontia, Phascolarctidae. The record is from RefSeq and is a predicted model, not a curated record.